This 237-nucleotide ribosomal RNA is filed under the name uncultured bacterium. Its description in RNAcentral is "partial 16S ribosomal RNA". It matches the Rfam family "Bacterial small subunit ribosomal RNA", at positions 96 to 334 of the family's 1533-position model. The record is from RNAcentral.
UGGCGGACGGGUGAGUAACGCGUGGGUAACCUGCCUCAUACAGGGGGAUAACAGUUAGAAAUGACUGCUAAUACCGCAUAAGACCACAGCACCGCAUGGUGCAGGGGUAAAAACUCCGGUGGUAUGAGAUGGACCCGCGUCUGAUUAGGUAGUGGUGGGGUAACGGCCUACCAAGCCGACGAUCAGUAGCCGACCUGAGAGGGUGACCGGCCACAUUGGGACUGAGACACGGCCCAA